RNAcentral lists this ribosomal RNA (448 nucleotides) under uncultured bacterium. RNAcentral's name for it is "SSU rRNA". It matches the Rfam family "Bacterial small subunit ribosomal RNA", at positions 26 to 518 of the family's 1533-position model. The record is from RNAcentral.
AGAGCGAACGCUGGCGGCAGGCCUAAUACAUGCAAGUCGAACGGAUCCUUCGGGAUUAGUGGCGGACGGGUGAGUAACACGUGGGAACGUACCCUUUGGUUCGGAACAACUCAGGGAAACUUGAGCUAAUACCGAAUGUGCCCUUCGGGGAAAAGAUUUAUCGCCAUUGGAGCGGCCCGCGUCUGAUUAGCUAGUUGGUAGGGUAAAGGCCUACCAAGGCUACGAUCAGUAGCUGGUCUGAGAGGAUGAUCAGCCACACUGGGACUGAGACACGGCCCAGACUCCUACGGGAGGCAGCAGUAGGGAAUCUUGCGCAAUGGGCGAAAGCCUGACGCAGCCAUGCCGCGUGAAUGAUGAAGGUCUUAGGAUUGUAAAAUUCUUUCAGCGGGGACGAUAAUGGACGGUACCCGCAGAAGAACGCCCCGGCUAACUUCGUGCCAGCAGCCGC